AUUGAACGCUGGCGGCAGGCCUAACACAUGCAAGUCGAACGGUAACAGGAAGCAGCUUGCUGCUUCGCUGACGAGUGGCGGACGGGAGAGUAAUGUCUGGGAAACUGCCUGAUGGAGGGGGAUAACUACUGGAAACGGUAGCUAAUACCGCAUAACGUCGCAAGACCAAAGAGGGGGACCUUCGGGCCUCUUGCCAUCGGAUGCGCCCAGAUGGGAUUAGCUAGUAGGUGGGGUAACGGCUCACCUAGGCGACGAUCACUAGCUGGUCUGAGAGGAUGCCCAGCCACACUGGAACUGAGACACGGUCCAGACUCCUACGGGAGGCAGCAGUGGGGAAUAUUGCACAAUGGGCGCAAGCCUGAUGCAGCCAUGCCGCGUGUAUGAAGAAGGCCUUCGGGUUGUAAAGUACUUUCAGCGGGGAGGAAGGGAGUAAAGUUAAUACCUUUGCUCAUUGACGUUACCCGCAGAAGAAGCACCGGCUAACUCCGUGCCAGCCGCCGCCGUAA
Molecule: ribosomal RNA, 506 nt
Filed under: uncultured bacterium
Lineage: Bacteria
Description: partial 16S ribosomal RNA
Rfam family: Bacterial small subunit ribosomal RNA
Source: RNAcentral